AUUGAACGCUGGCGGCAGGCUUAACACAUGCAAGUCGAACGAGCGGCGGACGGGUGAGUAAUGUCUGGGAAACUGCCUGAUGGAGGGGGAUAACUAAUGGAAACGGUAGCUAAUACCGCAUACCAUCAGAUGUGCCCAGAUGGGAUUAGCUAGUAGGUGGGGUAAUGGCUCACGUAGGCGACGAUCCAUAGCUGGUCUGAGAGGAUGACCAGCCACACUGGAACGGAGACAAGGCCCAGCCUCCUACGGGAGGCAGCAGUGGGGAACAUUGCACAAGGGGCGCAAGCCUGAGGCAGCCAUGCCUCGUGUGUGAAGAAGGCCUUCGGGUUGUAAAGCACUUUCAUCGAGGAGGCGUUACUCGCAGAAGAAGCACCGGCUAACUCCGUGCCAGCAGCCGCGGUAAUUC
RNAcentral lists this ribosomal RNA (406 nucleotides) under uncultured bacterium. RNAcentral describes it as "partial 16S ribosomal RNA". It matches the Rfam family "Bacterial small subunit ribosomal RNA", at positions 30 to 526 of the family's 1533-position model. The record is from RNAcentral.